GCUGGCAUAGCUCAAUCGGUAGAGCAGGAGUUUUGUAAACUUCAGGUUGGAGGUUCGACUCCUCUUGUCAGCUCCA
Molecule: transfer RNA, 76 nt
Filed under: subsurface metagenome
Description: tRNA-Thr
Rfam family: tRNA
About the family: Transfer RNA (tRNA) molecules are approximately 80 nucleotides in length. Their secondary structure includes four short double-helical elements and three loops (D, anti-codon, and T loops). Further hydrogen bonds mediate the characteristic L-shaped molecular structure. tRNAs have two regions of fundamental functional importance: the anti-codon, which is responsible for specific mRNA codon recognition, and the 3' end, to which the tRNAs corresponding amino acid is attached (by aminoacyl-tRNA synthetases). tRNAs cope with the degeneracy of the genetic code in two manners: having more than one tRNA (with a specific anti-codon) for a particular amino acid; and 'wobble' base-pairing, i.e. permitting non-standard base-pairing at the 3rd anti-codon position.
Source: RNAcentral